Molecule: long non-coding RNA, 1047 nt
Filed under: Theropithecus gelada (gelada)
Lineage: Eukaryota; Metazoa; Chordata; Mammalia; Primates; Cercopithecidae
Description: lncRNA (ENSTGEG00000013689.1)
Source: RNAcentral
UCUGGAUCGGCGGCGGGGGCUGCGGCCUCGCAGGGGAAGCCUGGGCGGCGAGCUGGGCCCUGCUCUCGGGGCGCGGGGUCCCCAUUCUGGGCGAGGGCGGCCGCUCCCGCGCUCGGGGUGGGCGCGCCCCCUCCCAGUUCCCCGUCCCCGUCUCGGUCCCCCGCAGCCGGUGAGCGCAGGGAGGUUCCAGGGCCCGCGGCCGCGGGUUCGCGAGGCCCGCGCUCCAGAUCGAGAGCGGCGCGCGCCCUUUCCCGGAGGACAGCGGGGCUGCGAGGGGCGCAGAGGGGGCGCCCGUGUCCCACCCGAUCGCGGGCGCCUUACGGGGCGUCCUCUGCGCCAUUCACUUGUCAGCUUCUCGGGAAGUUGAAAUCGCAUUUGGGAGGUAAUAGGAGAAAGAGAUUGGGGACGGCAGGCGGUGAAAGUGCGGUUUCCAUAGCGCCGGGGAGAGGGCGGGCCCGCGAACCAGCGGCCCCGGAGCCGGGAGACCGCGCGGGCGUCUCUCCAGUCCCCGCGGGAGCGCCCCCUUCCUUCCGCAGGGGCGUCCUCUCCCUGCACCGCUGCGGGAGCCCCCCCUUCCUUCCUCGGAAGCGUCUUCUCACCACACCGCUUCAAAAGCCCCCCUUUCUUGUACAGGGGCGUCCUCUCCCCCUCCGAGGCAGGAGCCCCCUUCUUUCCACAGGGGCGUCCUCGCCCCCUCCGAGGCAGGAGCCCCCUUCUUUCCACAGGGGCGUCCUCGCCCCCUCCGAGGCAGGAGCGCCCCUUCUCCCCCCGUGGAGCGGCCCGCGCCCAGCGGACUGGCAGGUGGGCGGGCGUCCACUACCUGUGUGCGCGUUGCGGGCGGUGACGGCCAAGUUGGAGAUGCCAUUGGAGCACUGCUUCGAAUUCUUAUAUCUGCGGGGCUUUUGUGACUUUCAAAGCCUAUAGCAAAUAAGCACCCCUACAAUUGCCUCUCCUCAGUGACCAAGUCAGGGUGAGGUGAGGGCUUCCUGAGUUCAGAUCCCAGCGGGCUGCCGAUCCUGUACAACGAAGAAAGCUCAACAAAACCGG